RNAcentral lists this ribosomal RNA (468 nucleotides) under uncultured bacterium. RNAcentral describes it as "partial 16S ribosomal RNA". It matches the Rfam family "Bacterial small subunit ribosomal RNA", at positions 28 to 507 of the family's 1533-position model. The record is from RNAcentral.
GACGAACGCUGGCGGCGUGCUUAACACAUGCAAGUCGAACGGAAAGGCCCUGCUUUUGUGGGGUGCUCGAGUGGCGAACGGGUGAGUAACACGUGAGUAACCUGCCCUUGACUUUGGGAUAACUUCAGGAAACUGGGGCUAAUACCGGAUAGGAGCUCCUGCUGCAUGGUGGGGGUUGGAAAGUUUCGGCGGUUGGGGAUGGACUCGCGGCUUAUCAGCUUGUUGGUGGGGUAGUGGCUUACCAAGGCUUUGACGGGUAGCCGGCCUGGGAGGGUGACCGGCCACAUUGGGACUGAGAUACGGCCCAGACUCCUACGUGAGGCAGCAGUGGGGAAUAUUGCACAAUGGGCGGAAGCCUGAUGCAGCAGCGCCGCGUGCGGGAUGACGGCCUUCGGGUUGUAAACCGCUUUCGCCUGUGACGAAGCGUGAGUGACGGUAAUGGGUAAAGAAGCACCGGCUAACUACGUG